Molecule: long non-coding RNA, 1179 nt
Organism: Lathyrus oleraceus (garden pea)
Lineage: Eukaryota; Viridiplantae; Streptophyta; Magnoliopsida; Fabales; Fabaceae
Exons: 2
Source: RefSeq, a predicted model, not a curated record
ACUUGGGCCACGGGCCCAUUGCUUGUUGGGUGAACGAAAUCCAAACCCCAAGUCUGACCCACCAACGAACCCUGAAGCUACAAAAACGAUCGCAGAUUCCUCCCGAAGCUAGACGGAAUUUCACGGCCGCGGGGAGAGAACGGAAACGGGUUCUCCUGGUCGUCAUCGAGAGAGGCGUUCUCGUCUUCUCCUAAAUCCCUGCAUCAACUCAACACUUUAGAUGUCUUUUCUCCUUUGUCGAGAAUUCACACGACUCCAUGAAGCAAGUUGAACUCCGAAUCCAAGACGUUCGUCGAAUUGAAUCCGAAUUAUUGGAUUCAGUACUCGUCUUCUCCAAAUCGAAAAUGGAGAGUUCACCGAUACUUAGUUUUAUGCUAAAUCGAGGAGGAACGCGGGCGUAUUUAUCAGAUUCAUAUUGCUUAAAGAAGCAAGAGGUGGAGGGAUAACUUACCGGUUCGAAGUAGAGGAAUCUUCCGAUGCGGCGGCUCGACGGUAACGGUCUCACAGUGCAGAGUUCGUCUGCGAUUCAAGGGAAGGAAGAAGAAGACGUCGGGAAGCUGCUUGUGCCGUGGUGGUUAUUCGGAAUGAGGAAGAAGGUGAAGUGAUAAUGAUGAAGACUCAUGUAACUGUGAGAGUUGCAGUGUCGAUUCUGUAGAAAAAUGAAAGAUCCUUCCAAGUAGAUCACAAUACCAGCUUAUAUACAUUUUCAAUCUGUUAGAUCGAUUAGCUUCCGUUAAAAAAUCUUGGUGUAAAUCUGUUAGGAGUUAUAAUGCUGUUAGUUGGAGUUUGUUAGAUUGGUUAGUUGAAGUUUUUUUAGAUUGGAUUGGUUUUGUUUAUUAUUAUGGAUUGGAAUUUCCGUUGCGGUUUUGAAGUUCUGUUGCAGGUAGUUGGAAAUUGGUUUGCUGUUGUUGGUUCAUGCAUUUCGCGUUUGGAGCUUGCAUCGUCGUCGUUUUGAUACUGCACCCGUCACCUGCGUUUUGGCUUACAGCAGCUUGUCGUUUCAUUACCUGCGUUUUGAUCUCGUUUCAUUACGUCAUGUUGCAGCAAGCGUUUGUUCUUCAGUUGCCUUGUUCUGGUAUUACUUGGUGAUGGACAUGGGCUUGAGCCUAGAAUGGUGACCCAAUGUACUUCUAUUUUAUUUUGAUGUAAUAGUGGACCUUUAUUGGUUUUGGAUUUAAA